This 440-nucleotide ribosomal RNA is filed under the name uncultured bacterium. RNAcentral's name for it is "partial 16S ribosomal RNA". It matches the Rfam family "Bacterial small subunit ribosomal RNA", at positions 338 to 795 of the family's 1533-position model. The record is from RNAcentral.
CCUACGGGUGGCAGCAGUGGGGGAUAUUGCACAAUGGGGGAAACCCUGAUGCAGCGACGCCGCGGGUGGGAAGACGGUCCUCUGGAUUGUAAACCACUGUCCCCAGGGACGAAAAUGACGGUACCUGGGGAGGAAGCUCCGGCUAACUACGUGCCCGCAGCCGCGGUAAUACGUAGGGAGCGAGCGUUGUCCGGAAUUACUGGGGGAAAAGGGGGCGUAGGCGGGGAUGCAAGUUGGGUGUAAAAAAGACCGGCUAAACUGGUAGUCGCACUCAAAAAGGCAGCUCGUGAGUGAAGUAGAGGCAGGCGGAAUUCCUAGUGUAGCGGUGAAAUGCGUAGAUAUUAGGAGGAACACCAGUGGCGAAGGCGGCCUGCUGGGCUUUUACUGACGCUGAGGCUCGAAAGUGUGGGGAGCAAACAGGAUUAGAGACCCCUGUAGUC